Molecule: long non-coding RNA, 652 nt
Organism: Andrographis paniculata
Lineage: Eukaryota; Viridiplantae; Streptophyta; Magnoliopsida; Lamiales; Acanthaceae
Exons: 3
Source: RefSeq, a predicted model, not a curated record
AGCUUCCUUUGCCUGGUGGUCGCUGCUCGGCUUCCCCCCACCACAGGAUCCCGUUGAAGUGAGGGCCUUUGGUGCGAUCACAGGAACACGACUCCGGUGUCGACCCAUCAGGAGGAAUAUGAUAUCUACGAUCCCAGAGGAUAUGGUCCAUUGUUGUUGCCAUUUCUGAAGAAAAGGGCAAAAAUUAUAGAGAUACUCGCUGCCCAUUAUAUUGUUUUUACUCUUGUUGUCCAUAUGUAUACUUGUUGCAAUAACGCUGAAACUUAUCAUUUCAAUUUUAGGAUGUUGGAUGAUGACUUGCAUUUUGUGUCUUCUUUUGCAGAGACUAACGAGAGGAUUUGUUUUCUAGAUUUUUGUCCAGAUGAGGUUAUAUGGAACUUGUUUUACAACAAAAAUAAUAAUUGACUCAUUGCUGGUGUGACUAACAUUCGCGAUGUUGUUGGUGAAGAUCCUAUUGAAUGGAACUACAACGACCUCAUGCGCCACCCCUGAAGCAUAUCAAACGAUUCCUUAAUGUUUUCCCCCGCUUGUCGUAUGGAUGGCAUGCCGUAAAUGUGUUUGGAUGGUAUGUUGUUGUUGCUAUGUGAACAACCUAUGGAUUAGAUUCAUAGACAUUUGGAGUUAUCUUUCGUGUGGUGAGAAUUGUGUUUAU